Molecule: unclassified non-coding RNA, 648 nt
Filed under: uncultured Prochlorococcus sp.
Lineage: Bacteria; Bacillati; Cyanobacteriota; Cyanophyceae; Synechococcales; Prochlorococcaceae
Description: partial 16S-23S ribosomal RNA intergenic spacer; may also contain 16S ribosomal RNA and 23S ribosomal RNA
Rfam family: tRNA (bases 305-377)
Source: RNAcentral
UUGUGGAGGAGGACGCCGAAGGUGGGGCUAAUGACUGGGGUGAAGUCGUAACAAGGUAGCCGUACCGGAAGGUGCGGCUGGAUCACCUCCUAACAGGGAGACAACAAAAUGUUUAAUAUUAUUAUUUUGUCACCUUAGGUCGAUCGGUAUCUCACGUUUUUAAUUUAUUAAGAAUUUCAUUUCCUAAGUUUUUCUAGGUCACACCCAUUAUUUUUCCUGGGCCAUUAGCUCAGGUGGUUAGAGCGCACCCCUGAUAAGGGUGAGGUCCCUGGUUCAAGUCCAGGAUGGCCCAUAUCUCUAUGUUGGGGGUAUAGCUCAGUUGGUAGAGCGCCUGCUUUGCAAGCAGGAUGUCAGCGGUUCGAGUCCGCUUACCUCCACUGAUUACCACCUCUUCCAUAACCGGUAGUAAAGGAAAUGUUUUGAGUUGUGAUCAAAUUCUGAAAGAAUCUAGCCUCCUAAUGAAAUCAUUAAGAUGCUGGACUCAUUGAAUUAAUUUCAUUGUUUUCAGAGAACCUUGACAACUGCAUAGAUUAUUUUUAAAGACAAUAAGCAUCAUUAAUGAUGCAGAUUUAUUAUUUGUGCGAAUGCAUUAAUAACAAUUCUAUUAAGCUGAUGCUUCAAUUUUUGAAGUUAUUGGUCAAGCUACAA